Molecule: ribosomal RNA, 301 nt
Filed under: uncultured bacterium
Lineage: Bacteria
Description: partial 16S ribosomal RNA
Rfam family: Bacterial small subunit ribosomal RNA
Source: RNAcentral
CAGUCGCCACGGUAAUACAGAGGGUGCAAGCGUUAAUCGGAAUUACUGGGCGUAAAGCGCGCGUAGGUGGUUUGUUAAGUUGGAUGUGAAAGCCCCGGGCUCAACCUGGGAACUGCAUCCAAAACUGGCAAGCUAGAGUACGGUAGAGGGUGGUGGAAUUUCCUGUGUAGCGGUGAAAUGCGUAGAUAUAGGAAGGAACACCAGUGGCGAAGGCGACCACCUGGACUGAUACUGACACUGAGGUGCGAAAGCGUGGGGAGCAAACAGGAUUAGAUACCCCGUAGUCCCUGUCUCUUAUACC